UUCAGUGGAUAGCUUUAUUUCUGCAAAGUGCAUAGAAUGAAGUUGUAGCCUGCAGUCACUGAAAGACCUAAAUGAAUGUGAGUAUGGUGUAAUGGAAGGCGCUGACAAGACUUCUUCCAAUCAUUUCAUCUCCAUAUCAUAUAAAAAGUAACAUUUCCUUUCCUUACUGAUUUUUUUCAACCAAGCUUUUAUGUCCACUGUGGCUCAUAAUG
RNAcentral lists this long non-coding RNA (212 nucleotides) under Bos grunniens (domestic yak). RNAcentral's name for it is "lncRNA (ENSBGRG00000002617.1)". The record is from RNAcentral. Lineage: Eukaryota; Metazoa; Chordata; Mammalia; Artiodactyla; Bovidae.